CCAGAGUUCGCCUGCCAUUGUGUUUCUAUAAACAGUGGUAUCUCUGCAGCUUCAACAUUUAUGUGAAGAUCCAGCUAUCUUGUAUCAUGUCUAGGAUUGCUUUCAUGAUGCUUCUUAUCGUCCCUGGCUUAGCACUGAAGACUCUGGACUUAAAUAUGGAAGAGAAUGAGAAUAACUCCUCGGUAAUCUCGAAUGACACAGAACAAGAAGGAAGAACUUUCGAAGAUCUUUCAGGUGGUUCUACUUCAAAAAUGUUGGUGUCACCCGCUUCAGUGACAGAAGGUUCUAGAGAUGAAGAGUUAAGAGCCCGCCUAGUUAACGGGACAGCAAAUGCGGGGCGUCUAGAAAUAUUUUACAGAGGGGAAUGGAGCACAGUGUGCAAAGAUCGCUUUGGAAACAAAGCAGCCAGUGUGGCCUGCAGGAUGCUGGGCUUCUACAGCCGUGGAUCAAUAGCUGUUGCCACAAGUGUAUACGGAGCAGGAACAGGAAGAAUUCUCUUCGAUGAUGUCACGUGUCAAGGAACAGAGAGAAGUCUCGCGCAGUGCAGUCACAAGACCUUCUACUCCCACGACUGUAGUCACAACGAAGAUGUCGGUGUUAUCUGCAAUGAGGGUAAACAGUUAGUGGCCCGUUUAGUUAAUGGAACAGCAGUUUCGGGGCGUCUAGAAAUAUUCAGCAACGGAGAAUGGAGCACAGUCUGCGACGAUGGAUUUGGAAACAAAGAGGCCAUGGUGGCCUGCAGGAUGCUAGGCUUUAACGGCUUUGGUGCAAGAGUUGCUGCAGCAGGUAGAUACGGAGCAGGAGCUGGAAGAAUUCUGCUCGAUGAAGUCAAGUGUCAAGGGUCAGAGAGCAGUCUUGCGGAAUGCAAUCACACGAAGUUCUACUCCGGCGACUGCAGUCAUAACGAAGAUGUCGGUCUUUUCUGCAAGGAGGUUAUCUCCCUGUCGUCGUGCAACACCUCAAGGAAAUACCUGGAGGUAAAGGAAGGCAGAAGUGACAACGAGUUUACAUGUACGGGACUAACAGCUCAAGAAGAUGUCCGCUGGUUUUUUCAGAACAAUAUAAGUUUUUGUUCACCAUCACCGUCUUUACGCUCCAUUAAAUGUUUGACACGAUUAACAGAAAACAGGACUUCAGACACAGUCAGUUUCGCUACGAUUGAUGCUAGAGAAAAUUCCGACCCCAACUACAUAGGAACAGGCACCUUGACAUGCCAAACCGCUACUGCCACCAUAUCAUGUCCGAUGGACUCAGUCUAUCCUGCUGAAAAUUCAAGUUGCCAAGUUCAGUUUGAAGACAACAAAGUAACCGCCUGGUGCUCUGUUUCAAAGGUCCGGUCGGCAAGAAACAAUUAUGUCUGCUCCCUGUACCAAGCUCUGGAGGCUUCCCAAGCGACAUUAGUCGGGUCCUAUACUAUGGACGUGGUGCCAGCAUCCUCUGGAUAUUUCUCAGGCAUGUGUAACAUGACCUCCUACCUGCCUCCCGAGGGACGAUACAGUUACUAUGUUAUUAUUAUGCCAGGAGAAGUAAACGUGUCCGCCACAUUCAUUGGAAGCAGUAUCAUCAGUAGACCUAUUGGUACACUAUACCACAACUGCCCAUUGUAUUUAAAUGAAGGGGACACCUUAAACUGCUCGUGUUUUGUCAACGACCUCGGAAAUCCUCCCGGUGUUCUUCGAUGGAACGGGACAGUCUCCGCUAAGCUGGAAUUUAAAAACCUCACAAAAUUGCAAAAUGGAAUUCAGAGUGUGUGUAGUCUGACCUGGAACAACACAGUCUACCAGUCUGUGUCUUACACUCUACUCGUGGAUUCAAUUAGUACGGUAACAGCCCGACUAGCUAACGGGGACGGAAUGGCGGGGCGUCUGGAAAUAUUCUACAAGGGAGAGUGGAGCACAGUUUGUGGCGAUGGCUUUAGAGACAAAGAAGCCAGGGUGGCCUGCAGGAUGCUAGGCUUUAACAGCUCUGGAGGAACAGCUGUUACAUCACGUUUGUACGGAGCUGGAGCAGGAAUAAUUCUCCUCGAUGAUGUAAAUUGUCUAGGAACAGAGAGCAGUCUAGUGGAGUGCGACCACAGCGGCUUCUACUCCCACAACUGCAUGCAUUCCGAAGAUGUCGGUGUUAUCUGCAAUGAAGAUAUUCAGCUCACAGCCCGACUGGUUGACGGGGACGGAAAUGGGGGGCGUCUGGAACUAUUCCACAACGGAGAAUGGAACUCAGUUUGCGGCGAUGGCUUUGGAAUCCAAGAGGCGAGGGUGGCCUGCAGGAUGCUGGGCUUCAACAGCUCUGCAUUAGUAGCUGCUACAACAGAUGAAUACGGAUCUGGAGUAGGAAGAAUUAUUCUGGAUGGUGUGAGGUGUACAGGGACAGAGAAGAGCCUGUUGGAGUGCAAUCACAAGCCGCUCUACCAACCCGAGUGUGAAGACUUCCAAGCCGGAGUCAUCUGCAAAGAAACCUCUACAGUGUCAAAACCAGCUUCUGCUACUACUACUGCUAGACCAAGAAGGGGUAAGCACCAAAAGAACAACCACACCAAAACAGGACUCAUCCUCGGAAACCACAACAUCAACGACAACAACUACAACGGAAAAGGUAACAAAAACGACCAAAACCACGACAUCUAGAAACGGAAACGCAACAACAGUAACAACGUCAACAACAACAACGUCUACUACCACCACUGUCACCAUACAAGCCUAGGCUGACUUUGCAAGACUACAGUUUACAAUUUUAAUAACCUUUCAAUUAUCGCUUUUCAUUAUAUCACUUUUUUGGAAUUUCUGUAAAGAAAACUGAUGUGUAAAAAACAUUUUAAGCUGUACCACUAUAUUUAUAUUUCAUUUUUUUUUCUAAAAUUUUGUACAUUUUUGCAAUUGUUGUAAGUGCACAUAAUAUUUUAUUUGUGCAAACUCUUUAUAAAGCAAGUAGUCCGUGUUAGCAGUUCAUCUGUUGAGACCGACUUCAACUUAGUAAACUACUUUUUGAAGACUGUAAAACUUUAUCUCCCUCAUGUCAUAGAUUUUUCUUUCAUGCAAAGAUAUCUUAGAUAUCUACUUAAUAAAGCCAUAGUCUACAUGUUAUUACAAAUAAUAUACGAGCACAUGCUAGAGUGUAAUGUUCUUUCAUAUAGCCAGCUAAGAGGAAGGGGUGUACUCCGUUUUCCUUCUUGUUGUCCGAAGAUUUUAUUUGUGUUUCUAUCUGCCUAUGUCUUAGACUCAUUUUUAUGCGUUUACCAGGUCUUUUCAGUCUUUAUAGACUAACGGUCAUGUCUGCCUUCGGGUUUGUCUGUUUACACGUUUUUUUCCAGAAUCUCUGGUUGCCUACCCUGCUUAUAGCUCUGUUCGGUGGAAACACUUUCUUACAUAACCCUGACUGCAGUCAGAACCUGGCGGUACUGUACUCUCCCCAGACAAAUCUUUUGAUUAGUAAAUAUCUGAAUCGUUCUUUAAAGAAGUUGAACAUACAAACUCGGAUUUCUGACACUGUAUAACACAAUAGAGUUCUGACAGGGAAACAGUAUCGAAAAAGCCUUUGAAUUUCGUAAUUUUUUCUGCAGUAAUCGGUACGAAUCGCUAUAGGGUACCCCAAUUAAAGGGAUUCUAAAGUCAAAAUAAAACUGCUUAGAAUCGCUUAAAGAGUAGGAUAAAUUUGAAUCUCGUCUGUUUAUAUGUGUGUUCAUGUGGAAAAUGUUGAAGG
Pomacea canaliculata is the source of this 3696-nucleotide RNA transcript. It is a transcript of the gene named deleted in malignant brain tumors 1 protein-like, with no coding region annotated. The transcript is spliced from 19 exons. NCBI's taxonomy places the organism in Eukaryota, Metazoa, Mollusca, Gastropoda, Architaenioglossa, Ampullariidae. The record is from RefSeq and is a predicted model, not a curated record.